Molecule: long non-coding RNA, 1014 nt
Filed under: Salvia miltiorrhiza (redroot sage)
Lineage: Eukaryota; Viridiplantae; Streptophyta; Magnoliopsida; Lamiales; Lamiaceae
Description: long non-coding RNA (SMIL_LNC007079)
Source: RNAcentral
AAUCCCUUCAAGAGAUAAUAUAAAUCAUGAUUUUUCUCAAGUGGUAAAGUAUAACAUUUUCCAAAUCCCAAUCAUGCUUACAUGCUUCGAUGAAAUAACUUAAGAUCAUGUUUCAUUCAUACUUACAUGCUUCGAUGAGACGCCUUAAGAUCAUGUAGUGAGAAAUUUCAGUUCUGCGAAGUACCUGUAGGUCUUCCAAUCAUAUCGGGUGUUCAAAGGAAUGGUGUUUAUUUCUCUAGUCACUCCCCAAUACCCUCAUGUUCCCUGCAGAAGUAUGUCUCGCAACUGCACUGCAGUCGGCUUCCAUGUUGACCCUGAAGACGGGAAGGGGUACUCCAUUCGCACGAAGUACCUGCGCUGCCUUGGUAUCUUCACCGAGAACUUAAUCAGAGCGGCUGCGCAGCUCGCUUGAACUUGAUCAGGGUUCCAGAUGAGAGGGGCGAGCCAGAGCUGUCUGCGCAGCUAAACAACAACAGAGGAGAGAGACGGCCAGAGCUGGCUGUGCAGCUAAACAAGGCCCCUAUUGCAACACGCUGUACCCUGCUUGAAGUCUUUGUGAUCGGCUGUGAAGGCCGAGUCAGGCUACAUGGGAUCGGGUGCUAAUGUCGUCGCCUAAUUCAGGUUUGAGUGUAAUAAGGUAAAUCUUGAAGAUCACCACCUGCGCUGCUUUCGAAGAACUUCGCCCUGUGCUGCCUUCGAAGAUUACCACCCUUUGCUGUCCUUGGAAUCCAUCGCUUGUGCUGCCCUCGAAGACUACCAUACUGCGCUGACCUCGAGGAUUACCACCAUGUCCGCGCCGAAUCAAUUUUAGCUUCUCCCCGAAGACCACCGCCUGCUCUGCCCUCAAAGGCCCCCGCCUGCGCUGCCCUCGAAGAUUAUCACCUUGUGCUGCCCUCAAAGGCCCCCGCCUGCGCUGCCUUCAGAGGACUCCACCUGCGCUGCCCUCAAAGGCCCCCGCCUGCGCUGCACUCUUCAGCGCUGUCAUCUUUGUCAAUCCGCAUCGAGGGCUAUAUC